GAUGAACGCUAGCUACAGGCUUAACACAUGCAAGUCGCAGGGUAACAUGAGGAAGGCUUGCUUUCCUUGAUGACGACUGGCGCACGGGUGAGUAACGCGUAUCCAACCUUCCCAUAACUACGGGAUAACCCGUUGAAAGACGGCCUAAUACCGUAUGAUAUCGUUUGCUGACAUCAAAUAACGAUUAAAGGUUUAGCGGUUAUGGAUGGGGAUGCGUCUGAUUAGCUUGUUGGCGGGGUAACGGCCCACCAAGGCGACGAUCAGUAGGGGUUCUGAGAGGAAGGUCCCCCACAUUGGAACUGAGACACGGUCCAAACUCCUACGGGAGGCAGCAGUGAGGAAUAUUGGUCAAUGGGCGAGAGCCUGAACCAGCCAAGUAGCGUGCAGGACGACGGCCCUAUGGGUUGUAAACUGCUUUUAUGUGGGGAUAAAGUGCGUGACGUGUCAUGCAUUGCAGGUACCACAUGAAUAAGGACCGGCUAAUUCCGUG
Molecule: ribosomal RNA, 490 nt
Filed under: uncultured bacterium
Lineage: Bacteria
Description: partial 16S ribosomal RNA
Rfam family: Bacterial small subunit ribosomal RNA
Source: RNAcentral